UUCAGACGAUGCGUCAUGCAUAUCAAUAAGCGGAGGAAAAGAAACUAACAAGGAUUCCCUCAGUAACGGCGAGUGAAGCGGGAAGAGCUCAAAUUUGAAAUCUUGAAAGGUCACCUUUCACGAAUUGUAGUUUAAAGAAGUGUUUUCUGUUACGAUCGUAAUAUAAGUUCUUUGGAACAGGACAUCACAGAGGGUGAGAAUCCCGUCUAUGAUUGCGAUUUGUAGCUUUGUGAUACACUUUCAAAGAGUCGGGUUGUUUGGGAAUGCAGCCCAAAACGGGAGGUAAAUUUCUUCUAAGGCUAAAUAUUGGCGAGAGACCGAUAGCGAACAAGUACCGUGAGGGAAAGAUGAAAAGAACUUUGAAAAGAGAGUUAAAUAGUACGUGAAAUUGUCAAAAGGGAAGCGUUUAACACCAGUGUUGUUUUCUGAAAAUCAACCUCUGUUAGCUUUAUGCAUGUUUGUUUAGACCUAAUCAGCUAUCUUGCAUGUUCUAUUGUUUGCAGUGGUGCACUUUUCAGUUUACAGGUCAACAUCAGUUUUUUUUACCGUAAAAAAGUUAAAGAAAGGUAGCUCAUGGCUCCGGUCGUGAGUGUUAUAGUCUUUUUCCUAUGCGGUAGGAGAGACUGAGGUCUGCAGUGUAGGCUAUUUGGCUAGAUACUCAGGUGCUAUGUGAUACCAUUUCAUAAACAACUUGUUGAUUACGUUUUGUCUAUUGCAUACUCGCUUGUACUAUCAUACCUACGCUUAGGAUGUUGAAGACUCUACAGAGAUA
This 772-nucleotide ribosomal RNA is filed under the name uncultured Neocallimastigales. RNAcentral's name for it is "partial large subunit ribosomal RNA". It matches the Rfam family "Eukaryotic large subunit ribosomal RNA", at positions 18 to 640 of the family's 3401-position model. The record is from RNAcentral. Lineage: Eukaryota; Fungi; Neocallimastigomycota; Neocallimastigomycetes; Neocallimastigales.